RNAcentral lists this ribosomal RNA (1513 nucleotides) under uncultured Vibrio sp. RNAcentral's name for it is "bacterial SSU rRNA". It matches the Rfam family "Bacterial small subunit ribosomal RNA". The record is from RNAcentral. Lineage: Bacteria; Pseudomonadati; Pseudomonadota; Gammaproteobacteria; Vibrionales; Vibrionaceae.
AGGGUUUGAUCAUGGCUCAGAUUGAACGCUGGCGGCAGGCCUAACACAUGCAAGUCGAGCGGAAACGAGUUAUCUGAACCUUCGGGGAACGAUAACGGCGUCGAGCGGCGGACGGGUGAGUAAUGCCUAGGAAAUUGCCCUGAUGUGGGGGAUAACCAUUGGAAACGAUGGCUAAUACCGCAUGAUGCCUACGGGCCAAAGAGGGGGACCUUCGGGCCUCUCGCGUCAGGAUAUGCCUAGGUGGGAUUAGCUAGUUGGUGAGGUAAGGGCUCACCAAGGCAACGAUCCCUAGCUGGUCUGAGAGGAUGAUCAGCCACACUGGAACUGAGACACGGUCCAGACUCCUACGGGAGGCAGCAGUGGGGAAUAUUGCACAAUGGGCGCAAGCCUGAUGCAGCCAUGCCGCGUGUGUGAAGAAGGCCUUCGGGUUGUAAAGCACUUUCAGUCGUGAGGAAGGUAGUGUAGUUAAUAGCUGCAUUAUUUGACGUUAGCGACAGAAGAAGCACCGGCUAACUCCGUGCCAGCAGCCGCGGUAAUACGGAGGGUGCGAGCGUUAAUCGGAAUUACUGGGCGUAAAGCGCAUGCAGGUGGUUUGUUAAGUCAGAUGUGAAAGCCCGGGGCUCAACCUCGGAAUAGCAUUUGAAACUGGCAGACUANAGUACUGUAGAGGGGGGUAGAAUUUCAGGUGUAGCGGUGAAAUGCGUAGAGAUCUGAAGAAUACCGGUGGCGAAGGCGGCCCCCUGGACAGAUACUGACACUCAGAUGCGAAAAGCGUGGGAGCAAACAGGAUUAGAUACCCUGGUAGUCCACGCCGUAAACGAUGUCUACUUGGAGGUUGUGGCCUUGAGCCGUGGCUUUCGGAGCUAACGCGUUAAGUAGACCGCCUGGGGAGUACGGUCGCAAGAUUAAAACUCAAAUGAAUUGACGGGGGCCCGCACAAGCGGUGGAGCAUGUGGUUUAAUUCGAUGCAACGCGAAGAACCUUACCUACUCUUGACAUCCAGAGAACUUUCCAGAGAUGGAUUGGUGCCUUCGGGAACUCUGAGACAGGUGCUGCAUGGCUGUCGUCAGCUCGUGUUGUGAAAUGUUGGGUUAAGUCCCGCAACGAGCGCAACCCUUAUCCUUGUUUGCCAGCGAGUAAUGUCGGGAACUCCAGGGAGACUGCCGGUGAUAAACCGGAGGAAGGUGGGGACGACGUCAAGUCAUCAUGGCCCUUACGAGUAGGGCUACACACGUGCUACAAUGGCGCAUACAGAGGGCGGCCAACUUGCGAAAGUGAGCGAAUCCCAAAAAGUGCGUCGUAGUCCGGAUUGGAGUCUGCAACUCGACUCCAUGAAGUCGGAAUCGCUAGUAAUCGUGGAUCAGAAUGCCACGGUGAAUACGUUCCCGGGCCUUGUACACACCGCCCGUCACACCAUGGGAGUGGGCUGCAAAAGAAGUAGGUAGUUUAACCUUCGGGGGGACGCUUACCACUUUGUGGUUCAUGACUGGGGUGAAGUCGUAACAAGGUAUCC